RNAcentral lists this unclassified non-coding RNA (336 nucleotides) under soil metagenome. RNAcentral describes it as "partial contains 5.8S ribosomal RNA, internal transcribed spacer 2, and large subunit ribosomal RNA". The stretch from base 1 to 120 matches the Rfam family "5.8S ribosomal RNA", at positions 35 to 154 of the family's 154-position model. The record is from RNAcentral.
GAUGAAGAACGUAGCGAAAUGCGAUAAGUAAUGUGAAUUGCAGAAUUCAGUGAAUCAUCGAGUCUUUUAACGCACAUUGCGCCCGCCAGUAUUCUGGCGGGCAUGCCUGUUCGAGCGUCAUUUCAACCAUCAAGCCCCCGGCUUGUGUUGGGGACCUGCGGCUGCCGCAGGCCCUGAAAAGCAGUGGCGGGCUCGCUGUCACACCGAGCGUAGUAGCAUACAUCUCGCUCUGGGCGUGCUGCGGGUUCCGGCCGUUAAACCACCUUCAUAACCCAAGGUUGACCUCGGAUCAGGUAGGAAGACCCGCUGAACUUAAGCAUAUCAAUAAGCGGAGGA